RNAcentral lists this long non-coding RNA (622 nucleotides) under Setaria italica (foxtail millet). Its description in RNAcentral is "long non-coding RNA (SITA_LNC007297)". The record is from RNAcentral. Lineage: Eukaryota; Viridiplantae; Streptophyta; Magnoliopsida; Poales; Poaceae.
UCAUUCCUUUAAAUUUGUCACACUGAAAAUGAAUCCACAAAGCUAAUUAGAAUUGCAUGACUUAAGUUGGCCGAUUCGUAGUGUUUAGUAGAAUUAGGCGAUUACUAGGCAUCAGAUAGAUUUCCCUUUAUUUGCUCAAUCGACGAUUAAACCUACAAAUUCAUCUUCCCUCUUUGUGCUUGUGGGAACAAUUGCGCACAGAAAUGCAAACAAAUUCAACAAAGAGAACCCUCACAUACCUCUCCAUCCGUCGAAGACGCCGACGGCCUCCCGUUCUCCGGUGCUGCGCAGCUACCCGGAUUUCUCGACCUCGUCGCCGUCAGGCUCCUUCUACAGUACAGCUCCGGCGUACCGGCGGCAUGGGUGAGUGGCCGCGCCGACUCGCCGCAAUUUCAGACGCUCGGCUGCUCGCCCGGCUCGGAAGCUCCGAUAAAUCCGGCGUGCCUCCUCCACCCCAUUGCUGCGGGAUACAGGGGAGUGGACGGGAUGGGGCUUUGCGCCCCCGGCCGCGGCGGCAGGUGGCGGCGGCGGAAGGCCGACCCAAACCAGGGGGUCGCAUGAAAAUAUUCGGAUCGCGAUUAAUAAUCGUGAUCCAAAAUAGGAGCAAAUUGUAAAGUAACGG